RNAcentral lists this ribosomal RNA (411 nucleotides) under uncultured microorganism. Its description in RNAcentral is "bacterial SSU rRNA". It matches the Rfam family "Archaeal small subunit ribosomal RNA", at positions 462 to 872 of the family's 1478-position model. The record is from RNAcentral.
CAGCCGCGGUACUACCGGCGGCCCGAGUGGCGGUCACUAUUAUUUGGCUUAAAGCGUCCGUAGCCGGGUUGGGAAGUCCUCCGGGGAAUCUGGCCGCUUAACGGUCAGAAUGCCGGAGGAUACUCCCAGCCUAGGGAGCGGGAGAGGCCGAGGGUAUUCCCGGAGUAGGGGUGAAAUCCUAUAAUCCCGGGAGGACCACCUGUGGCGAAGGCGCUCGGCUGGAACGCGUCCGACGGUGAGGGACGAAGGCCAGGGGAGCAAACCGGAUUAGAUACCCGGGUAGUCCUGGCUGUAAACGAUGCGGACUUUGUGUCGGACAAGCUAUGAGCUUGUCCGGUGCCGGAGGGAAACCGUUAAGUCCGCCGCCUGGGGAGUACGGCCGCAAGGCUGAAACUUAAAGGAAUUGGCGGG